AUUUAACUUGGCAAGUUCUUCAUUUUAUUGCAUAUAUAGGGCCACUAUGAUGACAACAAGGGUUUUUCAAGAAACCAUCAUUUGAAGAUAUGAUUGCAGUUAUAUGAGAUAACUGAAAAUCAUAUAAAGCAGAACCAAGCAAAUACCUAAACAUUAAUGAUUUAGUGUUUAGUAGGGCAACCAACAUAACAUACAAGUCAUGCAUUAAUGGAGAAAGAAUAGGCAUCUUGUGCUACUUAGGCUCAUAAUAAAAGUAUUCUCGUCUAAUAUUUCCAAUGGGCUGAUAUAAGUGACUUCUAACCAUACUUGGUUAUUACUAGAUACGAUGGAAAAAGUCACCAUUUUAAGUGGCAUCAUAGACAAAUAAGACACACAUGCAUGCUUCAAUGUUUCUUGUAUUUGUUUUCCUAGCACUCAAUGCAGCAAUAGUUGAUCCUGUGAUCUAACAGAUGUCAGCAGUGAAUGAUGCAGACACCUGAACUCUGUUGACGUAAGCAGUGAAUGUUUAAGACAUGACAGUGAAGGAUGUGCAAGCUAUAGAGAUGGUAACUUAGUGUUGGCAGAUAUGGCAACAACAGAGGUGGUGG
This 587-nucleotide unclassified non-coding RNA is filed under the name Hevea brasiliensis (rubber tree). The record is from RNAcentral. Lineage: Eukaryota; Viridiplantae; Streptophyta; Magnoliopsida; Malpighiales; Euphorbiaceae.